AACUCAAAGGAAUUGACGGGGACCCGCACAAGCGGUGGAGCAUGUGGUUUAAUUCGAAGCAACGCGAAGAACCUUACCAAAUCUUGACAUCCUCUGACCCCUCUAGAGAUAGAGUUUUCCCCUUCGGGGGACAGAGUGACAGGUGGUGCAUGGUUGUCGUCAGCUCGUGUCGUGAGAUGUUGGGUUAAGUCCCGCAACGAGCGCAACCCUUAAGCUUAGUUGCCAUCAUUAAGUUGGGCACUCUAAGUUGACUGCCGGUGACAAACCGGAGGAAGGUGGGGAUGACGUCAAAUCAUCAUGCCCCUUAUGAUUUGGGCUACACACGUGCUACAAUGGACAAUACAAAGGGUAGCGAAACCGCGAGGUCAAGCAAAUCCCAUAAAGUUGUUCUCAGUUCGGAUUGUAGUCUGCAACUCGACUAUAUGAAGCUGGAAUCGCUAGUAAUCGUAGAUCAGCAUGCUACGGUGAAUACGUU
RNAcentral lists this ribosomal RNA (475 nucleotides) under Staphylococcus epidermidis. RNAcentral's name for it is "bacterial SSU rRNA". It matches the Rfam family "Bacterial small subunit ribosomal RNA", at positions 898 to 1372 of the family's 1533-position model. The record is from RNAcentral. Lineage: Bacteria; Bacillati; Bacillota; Bacilli; Caryophanales; Staphylococcaceae.